AUGCUUUGACAACAGAUAUCCUAAAAAUGAAAUGUUAUAGGGAGAAUUAGCAUGGUCUCUGCACAAAAAUGACAUACAAGACCAUGAAAUGUUCCAUAUAAAA
Sarcophilus harrisii (Tasmanian devil) is the source of this 103-nucleotide small nuclear RNA. NCBI's taxonomy places the organism in Eukaryota, Metazoa, Chordata, Mammalia, Dasyuromorphia, Dasyuridae. The record is from Ensembl.